This 162-nucleotide ribosomal RNA is filed under the name Praecoxanthus aphyllus. RNAcentral's name for it is "5.8S ribosomal RNA". It matches the Rfam family "5.8S ribosomal RNA". From Rfam's summary of the family: 5.8S ribosomal RNA (5.8S rRNA) is a component of the large subunit of the eukaryotic ribosome. It is transcribed by RNA polymerase I as part of the 45S precursor that also contains 18S and 28S rRNA. The record is from RNAcentral. Lineage: Eukaryota; Viridiplantae; Streptophyta; Magnoliopsida; Asparagales; Orchidaceae.
AAUGACUCCCGCCAAUGGAUAUCUUGGCUCUUGCAUCGAUGAAGAGCGCAGUGAAAUGCGAUAUGUGGUGCGAAUUGCAGAAAUCCGUGAACCAUCGAGUUUUUUAACCCAAGUUGCGCCCAAGGUCAACUGGUCGAGGGCACGUCUGCUUGGGUGUCAUAU